ACAUUUUCAUCGGUCUGUCUAUGUGUCCACAAGUAUGUAUGCAUUUUCAAUAGUCUUCAUAUUCACCAGUCUGUCUCCGUGUUCAAUAGUCUAUUUACAUGUUUACCAGUCAGUUUUAUAUAUCCGUUAGUCUGCAUACUAUACCAGUCUGUGUAUGUGCCCACCAUUCUGUCUAUACAUGUCUACACAUGUCUACCAUUGGUCUAUAUGUCUACCAUAUUAUAGUGUCAAUGUGUCCACCGUCUGUCUACAUGUUCAUCAGUCCGUCUGUAAUUGCAUUUUGUUGUGUUAUUUUGUCUGAUAUUCCAAAUCUUCAUUACGCUGAAAUUUACAUGGCUUGCAUUCUUUUGACCUGAAAACGUACUAUAGGU
This 371-nucleotide long non-coding RNA is filed under the name Mytilus galloprovincialis (Mediterranean mussel). Lineage: Eukaryota; Metazoa; Mollusca; Bivalvia; Mytilida; Mytilidae. The record is from RNAcentral.